This 253-nucleotide ribosomal RNA is filed under the name uncultured bacterium. RNAcentral's name for it is "partial 16S ribosomal RNA". It matches the Rfam family "Bacterial small subunit ribosomal RNA", at positions 524 to 776 of the family's 1533-position model. The record is from RNAcentral.
UACGGAGGGGGUUAGCGUUGUUCGGAAUUACUGGGCGUAAAGCGCACGUAGGCGGGCUGUUAAGUCGGGGGUGAAAUCCCGGGGCUCAACCCCGGAACUGCCUUCGAUACUGGGAGCCUUGAGUUCGAGAGAGGUGAGUGGAAUUCCGGGUGUAGGGGUGAAAUUCGUAGAUAUUCGGAGGAACACCAGUGGCGAAGGCAGCUCUCUGGCUCGAUACUGAAGCUGAGGUGCGAAAGCGUGGGGAGCAAACAGG